UACGUAGGUGGCAAGCGUUGUCCGGAUUUACUGGGCGUAAAGAGCGCGCAGGCGGUCGUUCAAGUCGCGUGUGAAAGCCCCUGGCUCAACCAGGGAGGGUCAUUCGAUACUGUUCGACUCGAAGGCAGGAGAGGGAAGUGGAAUUCCGGGUGUAGUGGUGAAAUGCGUAGAUAUCCGGAGGAACACCAGUGGCGAAGGCGACUUUCUGGCCUGUUCUUGACGCUGAGGCGCGAAAGCUAGGGGAGCGAACAGG
RNAcentral lists this ribosomal RNA (253 nucleotides) under uncultured bacterium. RNAcentral's name for it is "partial 16S ribosomal RNA". It matches the Rfam family "Bacterial small subunit ribosomal RNA", at positions 524 to 776 of the family's 1533-position model. The record is from RNAcentral.